RNAcentral lists this ribosomal RNA (460 nucleotides) under uncultured bacterium. RNAcentral's name for it is "partial 16S ribosomal RNA". It matches the Rfam family "Bacterial small subunit ribosomal RNA", at positions 338 to 795 of the family's 1533-position model. The record is from RNAcentral.
CCUACGGGAGGCUGCAGUGAGGAAUAUUGGUCAAUGGACGAGAGUCUGAACCAGCCAAGUAGCGUGAAGGAUGACUGCCCUAUGGGUUGUAAACUUCUUUUAUAAAGGAAUAAAACGAGGCACGUGUGCCUUUUUGCAUGUACUUUAUGAAUAAGGAUCGGCUAACUCCGUGCCAGCAGCCGCGGUAAUACGGAGGAUCCGAGCGUUAUCCGGAUUUAUUGGGUUUAAAGGGAGCGUAGAUGGGUUGUUAAGUCAGUUGUGAAAGUUUGCGGCUCAACCGUAAAAUUGCAAUUGAUACUGGCAGUCUUGAGUACAGUUGAGGUAGGCGGAAUUCGUGGUGUAGCGGUGAAAUGCUUAGAUAUCACGAAGAACCCCGAUUGCGAAGGCAGCUUACUAAACUGUGACUGACAUUGAGGCACGAAAGCGUGGGUAGCAAACAGGAUUAGAUACCCUUGUAGUC